CAACUCAACUUUAUUAGAAGAGACGCAUUUAUUAGAUAAAAAGCCAAUGCAUGCUUUUACAGUAUGGAAAUUGGUGAUUUAUAAUAACUUAGCAAAUCGCAAAGUGAAAACAGGCGAUAAAUCAUUCAAGUUUCUGACCUAUCAGCUUUCGACGGUAUGGUAUUGGCUUACCGUGGCAGUGACGGUUAACGGGGGAUUAGGGUUCGAUUCCGGAGAGGGAGCCUGAGAAACGGCUACCACAUCUAAGGAAGGCAGCAGGCGCGCAAAUUACCCAAUUCUAACAGUUUGAGAGAGGUAGUAACAAGAAAUAACAAUACAAGGCAAUUAAAAUGCUUUGUAAUUGGAAUGAUAGAAAUUUAAACCCUUUUUAAAGUAUCAAUUGGAGGGCAAGUCUGGUGCCAGCAGCCGCGGUAAUUCCAGCUCCAAUAGCGUAUAUUAAAAUUGUUGCAGUUAAAAAGCUCGUAGUUGAAGUUCUGCUAAAAGUAACCGGUCUGCUUUUAAUAAAAGUGGUAUCUUGGUGUGUAUUUAGCAAUGAUGUCCUUUGAAGUGUUUUUUACUUUAUUGUAAUAAAGCAUAUUCAGGACUUUUACUUGAGAAAAU
This 600-nucleotide ribosomal RNA is filed under the name Hepatozoon canis. Its description in RNAcentral is "bacterial SSU rRNA". It matches the Rfam family "Eukaryotic small subunit ribosomal RNA", at positions 174 to 766 of the family's 1831-position model. The record is from RNAcentral. Lineage: Eukaryota; Apicomplexa; Hepatozoidae.